Molecule: long non-coding RNA, 1562 nt
Filed under: Gossypium barbadense (sea-island cotton)
Lineage: Eukaryota; Viridiplantae; Streptophyta; Magnoliopsida; Malvales; Malvaceae
Description: long non-coding RNA (GBAR_LNC003625)
Source: RNAcentral
GCUUAGAUGGAUCAUCCACCGCAAUGAAGCACCCAAAACAACCUCUGCUCUGUUACAAACCAGGAUUAACCAAGUGCAUGAUCGGUAUCAAGUAUCAACUAUAACAACUUAAUCCUUAAAUCUACCAGCUGGAAGAAAAAGCCAUCAAUUUUGCAGCCAUAAUAAUAUAAAAAUCUGAGAAUAAUUGAAAAAAAAAGGGAAGCUUCAAAAUGUGUGAUGUUGAAGAUAAUCAAUGAGUGGUUGCACAUGAAACAUAGUGACAUUGACAUAUCAAUCAUUUUCCUGAGUCUAGAUGACAUGAACUACAAAUAUGACCACGGGGCAGGUGAAUAAUGCAAAUUACGCCAGGCAAACAGCUAAACCUUUGGUGGCGAAGGGGCGAUAUCUACGCUUAAUCUCCAAUGAGUAGGGGAUCAAAUUUGUGCAGUAACUAAAAGCAAACAUGCAAAUAUCAAUCAAGCCCAUUUUCCCUAAUACAUAAAUGCAGGGAAGGUAAAUUAUGCAAAUUGCACCAGCUUAAUCUCCAACAUGUAGAGGAUCAUAUUUUGUGCAGGAACUAAAUGCAAUUACAAAAAUCACUUAAGCCCAUUUUACUAAAGUUUCAAUACAGAGAAACAUACAAAAGAAAAGUCGUCUCUCACACUGAAGAGAGCUUUGCAUUUAGCCUUGAAUGUGUCCAUCAGCCAGUGUGUUAGAGCACGUAAAUAAGCUCCAGAAAAGAAAACAAACGAACAAAAUGGUUUCUUCCCAAAACAUCUCUCAGUCUGAGGUAAUAAACAACACCUAGGGUUCAUAGCUCCCGUGGAACCUCAAAUCCCAAAAGCAAAACAAAAUCUCUUGUGUCAUGCAAUCAGCUAUCCAAUGCUUCAAGCAAAGAAUGCCCCUCAAAAUCGAAAAAGUCCCCUAAAACCGUUUCCCCCUUCCCUCCGUACGUCUCAUCUUAUAGCUCGCUUACACAACAAGUAAGCACUAAACAUAUCCCAAAGAUUCUAUACUUAAAGAUAAAAGCAAACUUGAACUACACAAACAAAGCAUUGACAACAUUGUUUUAUAACCAAGAGAGCUAAGAGCUAAAUGUGAUAAUAUCCACUCAAACAAACAGCUUAAAAGGUACAAACUUUUUUCCUUGCAGUAAAAAAAAAAUAUGAAGAAGAAGAACUGACCCCAUGCAAGCAAAAAGGGCAGAGAUCCAAGUGGGAAGGUAACCAGAAGAUUGCAUCUAAAAUCCCCAAAGCAAAGCCAAAAUUCCAGGAAAGAAAAGAUUUAAAUUCCUGCAAGGUUAAAAAAAAAAUCAAUACUUUUUGCUUUUCUUUUUUAAAAUCUUUUCCCCGGACUUUUUUCCUAGAAAAUGAAACAAGGAAAAAAAAGGGGUUUUCUGAAAAGAAAGAAGACCUUGAAAACGGCAUGUUUAGAAAUGGAUACGGAUAUUUCGUGAUUAAAACGUAAAUCUUGUUACUGGAAAGACGUUGGUUUCCAGCUCCUUCAGUUACCAAAGGGCUCUCGUUCAGUUCUCCUUUGUAGCCUCCUAAAUUAAUCUGUUUUCUAGUUUUAUUGAAUGGCUU